RNAcentral lists this ribosomal RNA (250 nucleotides) under uncultured bacterium. RNAcentral describes it as "partial 16S ribosomal RNA". It matches the Rfam family "Bacterial small subunit ribosomal RNA", at positions 525 to 774 of the family's 1533-position model. The record is from RNAcentral.
ACGUAGGUGGCGAGCGUUAUCCGGAUUUACUGGGCGUAAAGAGGGCGCAGGCGGCUUGGCAAGUCGGAUGUAAAAUCUCCCGGCUUAACCGGGAGGGAUCGUUCGAUACUGCUGGGCUAGAGGGCAGCAGAGGGUGAUGGAAUUCCCAGUGUAGUGGUGAAAUGCGUAGAUAUCGGGAGGAACACCGGUGGCGAAGGCGACUCUCUGGUCCGUCCCUGACGCUGAGGCGCGAAAGCGUGGGUAGCAAACA